CGCUGGCGGCAGGCUUAACACAUGCAAGUCGAGCGGGGGACGGUACUUGCUNCGGGCCUAGCGGCGGACGGGUGAGUAAUGCUUAGGAAUCUGCCUAUUAGUGGGGGACAACAUCUCGAAAGGGAUGCUAAUACCGCAUACGUCCUACGGGGAGAAAGCAGGGGAUCUUCGGACCUUGCACUAUUAGAUAGCCUAUGUCGGAUUAGCUAGUUGGUGGGGUAANGGCCUACCAAGGCGACGAUCUGUAGCGGGUCUGAGAGGAUGAUCAGCCACACUGGGACUGAGACACGGCCCAGACUCCUACGGGAGGCAGCAGUGGGGAAUAUUGGACAAUGGGGGAAACCCUGAUCCAGCCAUGCCGCGUGUGUGAUGAAGGCUUAUGGUUGUAAAGCACUUUAAGCAAGGAGGAGGCUACUCUAGUUAAUACCUAGGGAUACUGCGUUCUCCAAUAGGCACCGGUACUCUUGCA
This 469-nucleotide ribosomal RNA is filed under the name Acinetobacter baumannii. RNAcentral describes it as "bacterial SSU rRNA". It matches the Rfam family "Bacterial small subunit ribosomal RNA", at positions 34 to 507 of the family's 1533-position model. The record is from RNAcentral. Lineage: Bacteria; Pseudomonadati; Pseudomonadota; Gammaproteobacteria; Moraxellales; Moraxellaceae.